CUGAUUCCUAGGAUACUAGCAUGGGACUGAUCCAGACCCCAGGAAUCGUGGGUUUCAGAGAGAAAGGCAGUGUGCAUGGGCGUGGAUGAAUUGAAGUAAGUUCUGGUGAAUUUAACAUCCUUGCAUCCUGAAGACAAUGUGAUGGACAGAAACUGCUCCCCAAAAACUGACUGGAAAUUCUUCUAAAUGCUAUUCCUUCAGGUUGUCACUGCAGAGCUAUGAAGGCUGAGGAAUCUGUCCACUGUAACUGUGCCUUGCAUUUAGAGCUCGUAUGCUAUCUGUACCCUCAAUCCACUGCCAGUGACAUGCAUAAAAAGUGGGUGAGCAAGAGUUGUACCCCAACAAAUUCUGUCCAUGAUUUAUCCUAACAGUGAGUGUCAACCUGGGAUGAAUAUACAGGAUAUGAGGAAGGCUAUCACCAACAAAAUAUGGACAAGACCAGCAGGAGAAAUUCUCACAGCCUCUGAGUUAGUUUCUUAGUGUAUACUUGACAUGGAGGUAGGAGAUUUCUGUGGAUCAUGAGUGUAAUAAGUAUUGGGAGGAGUGUGCCCCGAUGUGUAAGAGAACGUUAUCAAAUGAG
Non-coding RNA from Cricetulus griseus (Chinese hamster), 580 nucleotides. NCBI's taxonomy places the organism in Eukaryota, Metazoa, Chordata, Mammalia, Rodentia, Cricetidae. The record is from RefSeq and is a predicted model, not a curated record.